AUUGAACACUGGCGGAAUGCUUUACACAUGCAAGUCGAACGGCAGCACGGACUUCGGUCUGGUGGCGAGUGGCGAACGGGUGAGUAAUGUAUCGGAACGUGCCCAGUCGUGGGGGAUAACGUAGGGAAAAUUACGCUAAUACCGCAUACGAUCUAUGGAUGAAAGCGGGGGAUCGCAAGACCUCGCGCGAUUGGAGCGGCCGAUAUCAGAUUAGGUAGUUGGUGGGGUAAAGGCCCACCAAGCCAACGAUCUGUAGAUGGUCUGAGAGGACGACCAGCCACACUGGAACUGAGACACGGUCCAGACUCCUACGGGAGGCAGCAGUGGGGAAUUUUGGACAAUGGGCGAAAGCCUGAUCCAGCCAUUCCGCGUGCAGGAUGAAGGCCCUCGGGUUGUAAACUGCUUUUGUACAGAACGAAAAGGUUUCUACUAAUACUAGGAGCUCAUGACGGUACUGUAAGAAUAUGCACCGGCUAACUACGUGCCAGCCGCCGCUGUAA
RNAcentral lists this ribosomal RNA (500 nucleotides) under uncultured bacterium. RNAcentral describes it as "partial 16S ribosomal RNA". It matches the Rfam family "Bacterial small subunit ribosomal RNA", at positions 30 to 523 of the family's 1533-position model. The record is from RNAcentral.